CUGAAAUCCAUUCUUGUUUCUGGCGGUGUGGA
This 32-nucleotide small RNA is filed under the name Bombyx mori (domestic silkworm). RNAcentral describes it as "ovarian small RNA-4953". Lineage: Eukaryota; Metazoa; Arthropoda; Insecta; Lepidoptera; Bombycidae. The record is from RNAcentral.